UCCUACGGGAGGCAGCAGUCGAGAAUCAUUCACAAUGGGGGAAACCCUGAUGGUGCGACGCCGCGUGGGGGAAUGAAGGUCUUCGGAUUGUAAACCCCUGUCAUGUGGGAGCAAAUUAAAAAGAUAGUACCACAAGAGGAAGAGACGGCUAACUCUGUGCCAGCAGCCGCGGUCAUACAGAGGUCUCAAGCGUUGUUCGGAAUCACUGGUCGUAAAGCGUGCGUAGGCUGUUUCGUAAGUCGUGUGUGAGAGGCGCGGGCUCAACCCUCGGACGGCACCUGAUACUGCGAGACUAGAGCAGUGGG
Molecule: ribosomal RNA, 305 nt
Filed under: uncultured bacterium
Lineage: Bacteria
Description: bacterial SSU rRNA
Rfam family: Bacterial small subunit ribosomal RNA
Source: RNAcentral